Ornithorhynchus anatinus (platypus) is the source of this 74-nucleotide non-coding RNA. The record is from Rfam. NCBI's taxonomy places the organism in Eukaryota, Metazoa, Chordata, Mammalia, Monotremata, Ornithorhynchidae.
CAGUGUGAGUAGGUCACGUGUGGUGCAGCAUGAUAAUGGAAUAUGCUGCAUCGUGUGUGACCUCCCUACACUGC